RNAcentral lists this ribosomal RNA (275 nucleotides) under Bacillus pumilus. RNAcentral's name for it is "partial 16S ribosomal RNA". It matches the Rfam family "Bacterial small subunit ribosomal RNA", at positions 1247 to 1520 of the family's 1533-position model. The record is from RNAcentral. Lineage: Bacteria; Bacillati; Bacillota; Bacilli; Caryophanales; Bacillaceae.
CUGCAAGACCGCAAGGUUUAGCCAAUCCCAUAAAUCUGUUCUCAGUUCGGAUCGCAGUCUGCAACUCGACUGCGUGAAGCUGGAAUCGCUAGUAAUCGCGGAUCAGCAUGCCGCGGUGAAUACGUUCCCGGGCCUUGUACACACCGCCCGUCACACCACGAGAGUUUGCAACACCCGAAGUCGGUGAGGUAACCUUUAUGGAGCCAGCCGCCGAAGGUGGGGCAGAUGAUUGGGGUGAAGUCGUAACAAGGUAGCCGUAUCGGAAGGUGCGGUUG